This 230-nucleotide ribosomal RNA is filed under the name uncultured bacterium. RNAcentral's name for it is "partial 16S ribosomal RNA". It matches the Rfam family "Bacterial small subunit ribosomal RNA", at positions 564 to 791 of the family's 1533-position model. The record is from RNAcentral.
UUAAGGUCCGCAGGCGGAUUUAUAAGUCAGUGGUGAAAUCCCCGGGCUCAACCUGGGAACUGCCUUUGUGACUGCAUAGCUAGAGUACGGUAGAGGGGGAUGGAAUUCCGCGUGUAGCAGUGAAAUGCGUAGAUAUGCGGAGGAACACCGAUGGCGAAGGCAAUCCCCUGGACCUGUACUGACGCUCAUGCACGAAAGCGUGGGGAGCAAACAGGAUUAGAUACCCCAGU